Molecule: ribosomal RNA, 590 nt
Filed under: uncultured bacterium
Lineage: Bacteria
Description: bacterial SSU rRNA
Rfam family: Bacterial small subunit ribosomal RNA
Source: RNAcentral
UCCUACGGGAGGCAGCAGUAGGGAAUCUUCCGCAAUGGACGAAAGUCUGACGGAGCAACGCCGCGUGAGUGAUGAAGGCUUUCGGGUCGUAAAACUCUGUUGUUAGGGAAGAACAAGUGCUAGUUGAAUAAGCUGGCACCUUGACGGUACCUAACCAGAAAGCCACGGCUAACUACGUGCCAGCAGCCGCGGUAAUACGUAGGUGGCAAGCGUUAUCCGGAAUUAUUGGGCGUAAAGCGCGCGCAGGUGGUUUCUUAAGUCUGAUGUGAAAGCCCACGGCUCAACCGUGGAGGGUCAUUGGAAACUGGGAGACUUGAGUGCAGAAGAGGAAAGUGGAAUUCCAUGUGUAGCGGUGAAAUGCGUAGAGAUAUGGAGGAACACCAGUGGCGAAGGCGACUUUCUGGUCUGUAACUGACACUGAGGCGCGAAAGCGUGGGGAGCAAACAGGAUUAGAUACCCUGGUAGUCCACGCCGUAAACGAUGAGUGCUAAGUGUUAGAGGGUUUCCGCCCUUUAGUGCUGAAGUUAACGCAUUAAGCACUCCGCCUGGGGAGUACGGCCGCAAGGCUGAAACUCAAAGGAAUUGACGGA